Brassica napus (rape) is the source of this 4196-nucleotide long non-coding RNA. RefSeq lists it as uncharacterized. Lineage: Eukaryota; Viridiplantae; Streptophyta; Magnoliopsida; Brassicales; Brassicaceae. The transcript is spliced from 4 exons. The record is from RefSeq and is a predicted model, not a curated record.
GCUGUGAAAGAGACAAAGAGGGUGGACAACAAGGAUGACGAGGAAGAGGUGACACCGGCGGAUGAUAGGACGGUGUUUCUGACGUUUUCCAAAGGAUAUCCAAUUUCUGAAUCGGAGGUUAGGGUUCACUUCACGAGGAAGUUUGGAGAAGUGAUAGAAGCCAUAGUGAUGCAACAAGUGCAAGAAAAUGAGCAGCCCUUGUUUGCGAGGAUGGUGUUGAAGAUGGAAUAUGCAUCGAAGAUUGAAGAGAUCGUGACUCCAAUGAACAAAAACAAGUUCACUAUUGAUGGAAAACAUGUUUUGGUUCGCAAGUUCUUUGCUGCCCCCUCCUCCUCGCAUGUUCGACCGCCUUCUUGAGUUUUAGACCAUCUUUAACGCGGAACUUUAACAGAGGUUUUAAAGAUAAAAACUGAUUUAAUUAAAUGAAAAUUAAAACAAUAGGCAAUUACCGAUCCUUAGAAAGGGAUUUUGGUAACCGUUUUUAAAGGGAGUUUUUCGAACACGUGCAAGCACAAAAAAAUUUCUUUUUUUUUUCUCUUUUCUUUUCUCUCUGUUCUUUCUUUCUCGACUUCUCCUUUGGCGAUUGAAACCGGCGUCUCCUCCGGCUUCUAUGAUCUCCUCACGGCGUCUCUUUUUCUCCAUUGAGAAUCACAGAAGAGAUUGAGAUGUCAACACUAGCAAAGAUGGAACGCUGUCAUCUUCGGCCCAGAUGAUACGCCUAGGGAUGGAGUUGAACAGAACUUACAGAACCAAUGGAGUCCCAUCUAUGUAUCUCUUUCUUUGUCGACAAAGCCGUUGCUAUCAUGUUGGAUACAAAGGUAACAUCUUGUUUUUUUUGUUUGUUUGUGAAGAGAGGCAUUGCUAGAAGAUACAAGAGUAGGAUUUAGGCAUUGUUAUUGUGUUACAUGUAGGUCUGAGUAUUGAACUGUUUUGAGUAACACUCAAAGUCCUAUGACGAAAGUGAAACAUAAUAGAAGUUAAUCGGUGUCAGUUUGAGGUAUGUGUGUGUGUGUGUUAUAUUUUUAACCGUAGAGUGCCAAUCUUCCUUCUAUAACAGGUUGAUAUCAUAUUUGUUGUAUAUAUUUGUUGUAUAUGCAAGUCACGAGUAUUGUCUGUAUGUUAGGAACAUGUUGGUUUUGGUUCUUCUCUUCUUCUCUAUAUAAAGUUGUGAUUCACCAAGCAUUUUAUUCACAAAGUCUCAUUAUCUCCUUCUCACCAAACAAGUUUCAUUCUCUCUUUCUCACCAAAUAAGUUUUAUUAUCUCCUUCUCACAAAGUAAUCUAAAACACUCUCUUUGAUCACAAAUAUUAUUCACAAAUGUUUUUUUCAAAUUACUCUUGAUUAUUGUAUUAAUCUUUAUUUUUAUGUUGUUUUUUAAAUCUAUGUUUUAAAUGUUAUCUUUUAAUAUGUUUUAUUUAAUAAAUAAUUUUAUGUUUAAAAAAAAAAUCUAAGAACCUUUAACUAAGAAACUUUCAUUGGACCACUCAAAAUUAGAGUUUCUUAACUAAAAUUCUUAGGUUACUUUUAUUAAUUAAAAAAUCAUUAAGAAACCCAUUAAAGGUUAUAGGGAUAAUCAUGCUCUAUAAGUUGUGUUUUUGCUUCUGAAUAAAAAAAUGGCGUUUGUUCUUUAUUAAUACUUUGUAAUUCAUUAAAGUGGCAAGAUGGAUUACCUAUUUUCUAAUACAUCUUUCGUUUUGAAUGUGAUUUAUUUUCUAUUGGAUAAUACAAUUUUAAAACCUGAAGUGCAGCACCCAAGGAGCAAAAGACCUUUAUUUCCUCGGUUGUAAAAGUUCAAAAUAAAUAUUCAAAAUAAAUGACUGAUAUAGUGAUGUAGAAUUAGAAUAUUAAUAAUUAAAUUAGAAUUUUAACAUUAAUGACAAUUAUAAAUUUGAUAAAAAAAUACCACAAUAUCAGAUUGUUUAAGUUUACAAAAUGAAACUUUUCCUGGACCAAAGUUUAAAAUUAAUUAAUUACGACAAAAUUAUAUGUAAGGUAACAAACGGCUCUCAUAAAAUUAUCAUUAUCAAACAAAAUUUAGGUUGUUCUUAUUUCGUGGUACAAUACUGUUUCUUUUUUAUGAAAAUAAAUUUCAGCAUGUAGAAAAAGAGGUACGGACUAACAUGAAUAGACAACAAAACCAAGCAAACAAAUAGUUGCCAUUGGAAUUAUUUUGCAAGGAAUUCAUUCAUUAUUAGUGGAGAGUGUCAGAUUUUGAAAUGUAAAAUGCAUGACAUAAUUCGGCGUAUGUAGUUCGUACAAAAGAAUAAUAAAUCAAAGCUUAUUCAGACGGUUACCAAAUAUGGUAUUCACGAUCAAAGCUUGAUCUUAACAUUCAUACAAGAAAAGAAUAAACCAAAGCCAUUUGAUGGUACUACAAAGGCAAUGCUAUUUCUGUAGGUAAAAAUAACCGCUGAACUCUACUUAAAUCCCACCAUUAUGUCUUCUUGCCAAGAUAAAAGCAUGAAUUUUGUUUCGUGUUUACCCAAGAUUUUUGAUGAAUCAUCACUCCGUUCUUGUAUUUCAACAUGUACAAACCAGUUAACCCUAAUUAAAACCCCUUACCAAUCCUUAAGUUUUAGUUUCAGCAAUGACAAUUUGACUUUUGAUACAAUAGGCUACAGAUGUUCGGUACAACUUGUAAUAGUGUUUGAAGCAUGGUUGUGAAAUGUGUCCAGAGUGCUCUUCUGUUGCAUCUGUGGAGUUAACAGAGACAAGAAACAAUGCAACAAUACAAGAAACAAUUACAGCAAUCGUUAGAUAUGUGGAAAUAAUGGAGAAAGGAUUCUUCGGGUUGAAGAGUGGAGGUAAAAGCUUGGGAAGUCUAAUGCUGCAACUAAUUGCUAUUAUUUAUGGAGAACAUGCGGUAACAGGAAAGCUCCGGAAACAUAUAUGGAGGUAAAACCUUCAAUUCAUCCUCUUAAAGGCAAGAAGAAUGCUCAUCUUCUACAUACCAUGUUCAAUCAACCAGUGCUCAUGGUAUUGUGGUUACUCUCAAACACACCACAUGAGGGAUGAUGAUAUUUCUUGGAAUUGUCAAAGGUUGGGAAUACCUCUGAAAAUUCCACAUCUUAAUGCUAUUAGUAUCUGCUAAGGAGGGGAAGUGGUGGACUAGCCAUCUUUUGAAAUGAUGAGGUCAAGAUUCAUUUUGGAAAACCCUUCUCUCUAUUGUUCAAACAUGUAUGUAAAAGAUGGCAGAAAUACUUUUUGACAUGUAUGUUGAACUAUCGUCAGGCUCAUUGGAGAAAACUUAUAAAUUUGCUGCUGCUCGAGUUUAUCAGCACAAACCUCAACUAAUAUUUCGGUACUUCAAUGAUAUUAAAGGCAAUUAUGAGAAGGAAUUAGGAGUUAUUAAGUCAUAAGCCUCAUUUUCCUUGUUUAAUCAUAUGCUAUUGUUAUUCGGGCUUCAUGAUUCAAAACAAUAUAGGGAAGAUUUACUUGUAUUGGUAAUAAACCUAAGUUCAAAAUUAAAUAUCAGAUUUAUAGAGCAGUGGCUAAUUAUGACUGCAUUGAUAUGUAAUCAUCUUCUUGUAUUUAUCAACCACCUUGGAUUGAUUCUGAUAAUCGGGCAUUAUUUAUUAGUACUUAUUCAUUUAAAUAUAGUGAAGAAAAAUGUUUAGAUAUGACAAUAGAUAGAUGCUGCAACACGAGGUAAAACAAGUGAUAUAUGAUGUUUGAAGUCAAGAAUCUAUUAAUCUACAUCUGAUAAUAUAUAUCAUGAUUUUUAUGAAAUAUUUCCAUGGUAUAAGUCCUUAUUUAGAGUCUUUAUAUUAUUUUCGAGUUGGUUUUAGAACUUUUGCAGGUUCAAGUACGAUUUGAAGCAUUUUGAAGAUUCUAGAGAUAUUUGGAUCAUGAAGAGAACUGAUGCUGAAAAGUUAAAGUCGGAGUCGAUCUGUCACUACGGUGUCGAUCGACACUCAGUUUGGUAUCGGCCGACACCCGUCUCAAGUUAACAAACUGACAUGCUUUAAUGAUGUUUGAAGAAUUAUACAAAACCCAAAAGUUUUCCUUAUUUGAAGAGAAGCUUCUAAUCGUGUUUUUACCUAUAUUAGGUUUUCUUAAGCAACUUUUUAGGCGACCCCAAAUUAAAUUUUAGAGAGAUUUGAAGAGAAAGAUCAGCACUCAUUCAGAGAUUGAUUUGAAACUUCAGAAAUUUUAUUUUACCUUAAUACAAUUUAUCCAGACUUCAUUUAUGCGUU